AGAACGAACGCUGGCGGCAGGCCUCAAACAUGCAAGUCUAGGGGUGUAGCAAUACACACCGGCGGACGGGUGCGUAACGCGUGGGAACAUACCUUUCGGUACGGAACAACCCAGGGAAACUUGGGCUAAUACCGUAUACGUCCUAACGGAGAAAGAUUUAUCGCCGAAGGAUUGGCCCGCGUUCGAUUAGCUAGUUGGUGGGGUAACGGCUCACCAAGGCGACGAUCGAUAGCUGUUCUGAGAGGAAGAUCAGCCACACUGGGACUGAGACACGGCCCAGACUCCUACGGGAGGCAGCAGUUGGGAAUCUUGGACAAUGGGGGAAACCCUGAUCCAGCCAUGCCGCGUGAGUGAUGAAGGCCUUCGGGUUGUAAAACUCUUUCGACGGGGACGACAGUGACGGUACCCGUAGAAGAGCUCCGGCUAACUUCGUGCCAGCAGCCGC
RNAcentral lists this ribosomal RNA (445 nucleotides) under uncultured bacterium. RNAcentral's name for it is "SSU rRNA". It matches the Rfam family "Bacterial small subunit ribosomal RNA", at positions 26 to 518 of the family's 1533-position model. The record is from RNAcentral.